Molecule: ribosomal RNA, 449 nt
Filed under: uncultured bacterium
Lineage: Bacteria
Description: partial 16S ribosomal RNA
Rfam family: Bacterial small subunit ribosomal RNA
Source: RNAcentral
UCCAGACUCCUACGGGAGGCAGCAGUGGGGAAUAUUGGGCAAUGGGCGCAAGCCUGACCCAGCAAUGCCGCGUGAAGGAAGAAGGCCUUCGGGUUGUAAACUUCUUUUAUCAGGGACGAAGGAUGUGACGGUACCUGAUGAAUAAGCUCCAGCUAACUACGUGCCAGCAGCCGCGGUAAUACGUAGGGAGCAAGCGUUAUCCGGAUUUACUGGGUGUAAAGGGAGCGUAGGCGGCAGUGCAAGUCAGAAGUGAAAGCCCGGGGCUCAACUCCGGGACUGCUUUUGAAACUGUACAGCUUGAUUGCAGGAGAGGCAAGUGGAAUUCCUAGUGUAGCGGUGAAAUGCGUAGAUAUUAGGAGGAACACCAGUGGCGAAGGCGGCUUGCUGGACUGUAAAUGACGCUGAGGCUCGAAAGCGUGGGGAGCAAACAGGAUUAGAUACCCGGGUAA